CGAGAGAGGCUGGCUAGCAACAAAGACUGCUAAUCUUCGUACCCUCGGGUUGAAUCCGGAGUUUUCUC
RNAcentral lists this transfer RNA (68 nucleotides) under Chaeturichthys stigmatias (finespot goby). RNAcentral's name for it is "tRNA-Ser". Lineage: Eukaryota; Metazoa; Chordata; Actinopteri; Gobiiformes; Gobiidae. The record is from RNAcentral.